CAGCAGCCACGGUAAUACAGAGGGUGCGAGCGUUAAUCGGAUUUACUGGGCGUAAAGCGUGCGUAGGCGGCUUCUUAAGUCGGAUGUGAAAUCCCUGAGCUUAACUUAGGAAUUGCAUUCGAUACUGGGAAGCUAGAGUAUGGGAGAGGAUGGUAGAAUUCCAGGUGUAGCGGUGAAAUGCAUAGAGAUCUGGAGGAAUACCGAUGGCGAAGGCAGCCAUCUGGCCUAAUACUGACGCUGAGGUACGAAAGCAUGGGGAGCAAACAGGAUUAGAUACCCCAGUAGUCCCUGUCUCUUAUAC
RNAcentral lists this ribosomal RNA (301 nucleotides) under uncultured bacterium. Its description in RNAcentral is "partial 16S ribosomal RNA". It matches the Rfam family "Bacterial small subunit ribosomal RNA", at positions 509 to 807 of the family's 1533-position model. The record is from RNAcentral.